RNAcentral lists this ribosomal RNA (468 nucleotides) under uncultured bacterium. Its description in RNAcentral is "partial 16S ribosomal RNA". It matches the Rfam family "Bacterial small subunit ribosomal RNA", at positions 28 to 507 of the family's 1533-position model. The record is from RNAcentral.
GACGAACGCUGGCGGCGUGCUUAACACAUGCAAGUCGAACGGAAAGGCCCUGCUUUUGUGGGGUGCUCGAGUGGCGAACGGGUGAGUAACACGUGAGUAACCUUCCCUUGACUUUGGGAUAACUUCAGGAAACUGGUGCUAAUACCGGAUAGGAGCUCCUGCUGCAUGGUGGGGGUUGGAAAGUUUCGGCGGUUGGGGAUGGACUCGCGGCUUAUCAGCUUGUUGGUGGGGUAGUGGCUUACCAAGGCUUUGACGGGUAGCCGGCCUGAGAGGGUGAACGGCCACAUUGGGACUGAGAUACGGCCCAGACUCCUACGGGAGGCAGCAGUGGGGAAUAUUGCACAAUGGGCGGAAGCCUGAUGCAGCAACGCCGCGUGCGGGAUGACGGCCUUCGGGUUGUAAACCGCUUUCGCCUGUGACGAAGCGUGAGUGACGGUAAUGGGUAAAGAAGCACCGGCUAACUACGUG